Molecule: ribosomal RNA, 465 nt
Filed under: uncultured bacterium
Lineage: Bacteria
Description: partial 16S ribosomal RNA
Rfam family: Bacterial small subunit ribosomal RNA
Source: RNAcentral
GACGAACGCUGGCGGCGUGCUUAACACAUGCAAGUCGAACGGAAAGGCCCUGCUUGCAGGGUACUCGAGUGGCGAACGGGUGAGUAACACGUGGGUGAUCUGCCUGCCACUUCGGGUUAAGCAUGAGAAACUGGGUCUAAUACCGGAUAGGUGACAUUUUCAGUGUGAUGGUUGGAAAGUUUUUUAGGUGGAGGAUGAGCCCUCGGCCUAUCAGCUUGUUGGUGGGGGUAUGGCCUACCAAGGCGGCGAAGGGUAGCUGGCCUGCGGGGGUGGGCGGCCACAAUGGGGGUGAGGAGAGGCGCCGCUUCCUACGGGGGGCAGCAGUGGGGAAGAAUGCUGGAUGGGCGGAAGCCCGCUGAAGCGACGACGCGUGGUGGAUGACGGCCUUCGGGUUGUAGAAUACUUUCGCUAGGAACGAAGCAUAUUGUGACGGUACCUAGAGAAGAAGCACCGGCUAACUACGUG